This 994-nucleotide ribosomal RNA is filed under the name Campylobacter gracilis. Its description in RNAcentral is "bacterial SSU rRNA". It matches the Rfam family "Bacterial small subunit ribosomal RNA", at positions 28 to 1035 of the family's 1533-position model. Lineage: Bacteria; Pseudomonadati; Campylobacterota; Epsilonproteobacteria; Campylobacterales; Campylobacteraceae. The record is from RNAcentral.
AGUGAACGCUGGCGGCGUGCCUAAUACAUGCAAGUCGAACGGAAUUUAAAAGAGCUUGCUCUUUUAAAUUUAGUGGCGCACGGGUGAGUAAUAUAUAGCUAAUCUGCCCCUUGCUGGAGGACAACAGUUAGAAAUGACUGCUAAUACUCCAUACUCCUUUUUACCAUAAGAUAAAUCGGGAAAGAAUUUCGGCAAGGGAUGAGACUAUAUCGUAUCAGCUAGUCGGUGGGGUAACGGCCUACCGAGGCUAUGACGCGUAACUGGUCUGAGAGGAUGAUCAGUCACAUUGGAACUGAGACACGGUCCAAACUCCUACGGGAGGCAGCAGUAGGGAAUAUUGCGCAAUGGGGGAAACCCUGACGCAGCAACGCCGCGGAGGAUGACACUUUUCGGAGCGUAAACUCCUUUUGUUAGGGAAGAAUAAUGACGGUACCUAACGAAUAAGCACCGGCUAACUCCGUGCCAGCAGCCGCGGUAAUACGGAGGGUGCAAGCGUUACUCGGAAUCACUGGGCGUAAAGGACGCGUAGGCGGAUUAUCAAGUCCCUUGUGAAAUCUAACGGCUUAACCGUUAAACUGCUUGGGAAACUGAUAAUCUAGAGUAAGGGAGAGGCAGAUGGAAUUCUUGGUGUAGGGGUAAAAUCCGUAGAUAUCAAGAAGAAUACCUAUUGCGAAGGCGAUCUGCUGGAACUUAACUGACGCUAAUGCGUGAAAGCGUGGGGAGCAAACAGGAUUAGAUACCCUGGUAGUCCACGCCCUAAACGAUGUAUACCGGUUGUUGCUGUGCUAGUCACGGCAGUAAUCCACCUAACGGAUUAAGUAUACCGCCUGGGGAGUACGGUCGCAAGAUUAAAACUCAAAGGAAUAGACGGGGACCCGCACAAGCGGUGGAGCAUGUGGUUUAAUUCGAAGAUACGCGAAGAACCUUACCCGGACUUGAUAUCUAACAAAUCAUCCAGAGAUGGAAGAGUGUCUGCUUGCAGAAAUGUUAAGAC